RNAcentral lists this ribosomal RNA (400 nucleotides) under uncultured bacterium. Its description in RNAcentral is "bacterial SSU rRNA". It matches the Rfam family "Bacterial small subunit ribosomal RNA", at positions 355 to 747 of the family's 1533-position model. The record is from RNAcentral.
UGGGGAAUAUUGGACAAUGGGCGCAAGCCUGAUCCAGCAAUGCCGCGUGUGUGAAGAAGGCCUUCGGGUUGUAAAGCACUUUUGUUAGGGAGGAAAGUCUGGUAGCUAAUAACUGCUAGAUCUGACGUUACCUAAAGAAUCAGCACCGGCUAACUCUGUGCCAGCAGCCGCGGUAAUACAGAGGGUGCAAGCGUUAAUCGGAAUUACUGGGCGUAAAGGGUCUGUAGGCGGAUUAUUAAGUCGGAUGUGAAAUCCCCGGGCUCAACCUGGGAACGGCAUUCGAUACUGGUAGUCUAGAGUGUGCAAGAGGAUGGGGGAAUUCCUGGUGUAGCAGUGAAAUGCGUAGAGAUCAGGAGGAACAUCAAUGGCGAAGGCACCUUUCUGGGGCAACACUGACGCU